Molecule: long non-coding RNA, 1493 nt
Organism: Homo sapiens (human)
Lineage: Eukaryota; Metazoa; Chordata; Mammalia; Primates; Hominidae
Source: Ensembl
CGAUCUGAACAUCAGAAGGGACAGACUCCAGAUGCCCCACCUUAAGAGCUGUAAUACUCACUGCAAGGGUCUGCAGCUUCAUUCUUGAAGUCAGACCAAGAACCCAGCAAUUCCCAACACACAGGGACCAGCUUCUUUCCUAACUCACUUAGGCUCUUCGUGCUGCUCUGGCAACUAACACCCUUGGCUGCAGGGGCUUGGACACUACCCUUAGUCACUGACAAUUGUGUGAAGGCUGCUGUCGUUAACUUCACUUGAUCACCUUAGGCUCCUGUGAAGUGGUGAGCAAUUCAAACAAAUUCCUGUCGUCAAAUCAUAAUCCUGAUUUUGUUUGGAAGGACAGCGUGCCUGGUUCCAGGACUUGAAUCAUUCGUUUGUCCAGCAUCUCCAUGCUGUGUACGCUACCCGCCUGUUAGUCAUUGACACUGUCUGCUCCUGACAUCCACCCAUCAAUAUUGUCAUUGCUCAAUGAUCCAGGAUCACCGAGAGCAGAUGAGCCUCCUGAUGCAUGGUCAGAAGGAUAUACAUCUUUCCACACCAAUAGACCUUGUUUUCCGAUGUAGCAUUAUUUUUCAUAGUUGGCGAAUAUACAGUUAUGGAUUCAUAACAGCAAGAUGGAGAAAUUGCACUGCAGAGAAAUCUUUAAAAGCAAUUACCUAAUACUGCAGAUUGCUGAACUGUACCCACACCCAAGACUGAGCAUUGGAUCAAUCCAGAAUAUACAUCAGGUGUUCUGCAAUGUCUGCCUAAAACCAUGACUCUGCCUCCUCCAGCUGUUGCUACAUCUCACUAUGGGUUUCCUGUGACAUUUUGAGCAAGUAUGCCUCUGUGACUGGGGUUCUUACACUCCAGAAUGGAUGAGAAGCACCGUAAGUGGCUUUUAAAAUGAAUAUUCCCUGGCCCUUCAGUCGCUCUAUAGGUCAAGAAUCUGAAUUCUCAACCUGUCUAGAAGGUUCUGGUUUUAAUGGUCUGUGGGCUGCACAUUGAGAAACCUGUUCAGCGAGUGCAACAAAGGUUCCACAUGUGAGAAAGGAAGCAUCAGGUCUCUUGAGCCUGUUCUUUAAUCUGUAGGCUGCACCUUCUCUUUAAAUUCUGCUAAUAACACCAUGCGAGAAAACACCCGAGCUUGAAAAGCCCAUGUUCCAACAUAACUGUCCUUCACCACUCUGGAAAAUUAAUGGUUUGUUUCGAUUAUCCCUUUGUUAAACUCCAAAGUCAAAGAGCUCUGAAAGGCAUACGGUUAUUUUAAGUUUCAGGUGAUUUCUGUUGCCAAAUAUUUUAAAAAUUUAAAAUUGCUACGUGACCUCUUAGUAGUACUAUUAGAUUUCCUGACAAUAAAAAUAAGUCUUUUGGUUUCACCAUUUAUAGUUAGUACAGCUAAUAUUAAGUAUAAUUUUAAAAGCCUUUUAUUUUCUCAGAAAGAAAAAAUAAUCAAAAUCUGCUCAGUGUGGUAUUGAAUAAUUAAAAACAAAAGAACAGUAUCUUCACAUUAG